Molecule: ribosomal RNA, 301 nt
Filed under: uncultured bacterium
Lineage: Bacteria
Description: partial 16S ribosomal RNA
Rfam family: Bacterial small subunit ribosomal RNA
Source: RNAcentral
CAGCAGCCGCGGUAAAACGGAGGGUGCAAGCGUUAAUCGGAAUUACUGGGCGUAAAGCGUGCGUAGGCGGCUUUUUAAGUCGGAUGUGAAAUCCCUGAGCUUAACUUAGGAAUUGCAUUCGAUACUGGGAAGCUAGAGUAUGGGAGAGGAUGGUAGAAUUCCAGGUGUAGCGGUGAAAUGCGUAGAGAUCUGGAGGAAUACCGAUGGCGAAGGCAGCCAUCUGGCCUAAUACUGACGCUGAGGUACGAAAGCAUGGGGAGCAAACAGGAUUAGAGACCCCAGUAGUCCCUGUCUCUUAUAC